This 1006-nucleotide long non-coding RNA is filed under the name Athene cunicularia (burrowing owl). RNAcentral describes it as "lncRNA (ENSACUG00000014360.1)". The record is from RNAcentral. Lineage: Eukaryota; Metazoa; Chordata; Aves; Strigiformes; Strigidae.
UGGGUUUGAUGUAAUUUGAUUUAUAUGAAUUCUGCUGUGUGGUCUCUGUUUUAAUUACUGCAUCUACUUUUUUUUUUUUUUUUCCCCUUACAGAUAAUUUUCAAGAUCAGAUGAAGCGGGAACUGGCAUACAGAGAAGAAAUGGUACAGCAGCUACAAAUUAUUCCCUAUGCAGCAAGCUUGAUCAGGAAAGAAAAGCUCGGUGCACACCUCAGCAAAAGCUAAAGGUGUACAGGAUCUUUUGCAGCUGUUACCUUGUAAGUUAUAACCUACUACUCAGAAACUUAACUUGUAUAAAGACUGAAAAAAAGGAACGUCAUUGGGGAUUUAAUGAACAAAUAACUGGGAACGUCAUUGGGGAUUUAAAGAAUAAAUAACUGGGUUCCUCCGAACCCAAGGAUAAGUGACCUCAAAGCAUCAUGGACAACCAUGUAAAAUAGAAUGUAGCAGCCAUUUAUUAGUAAAAACAAAACAAAACAAAAAAAAAAAAUCAAAAAAUGCCUGUCCUGGAUCUUUUUUGGUGGUACCAAAGUUUAAGUCUUUGUGUUUUUAGAAGGACUACUGAUAGAGAAAAUGCUUUCGAUGAAUAGUACAGAUAAGCUGUGGAAGGAACUGCUGAUCCUUUCAAUGCCACAAACACUGACAACAUCUGCCCGUUCAUCUUUUGCUUUUGAAUAGUGAUUGUUUUAUGAAAAGAAAUGUGUGUCUUACCAGAUGGGCCAGAACCACAUCUGGAUGGACGGAUGGAUGGAUAGAGCAGCGUUAGCCAUACACAGUGCUUUUUAAAAGCAGACUGGAAAUUCUCACACCCCUCUCCCUUGGCCCUCUCCUUCUCUGGUAUUUUGCCUGCUGUAUGAAUUACGAUUGUACUCCUCUGGAAAUAUUUUACAAUUUAAUAUUGAGUGUAAUUAAGAAUAUAAUCACUGUUAUCAAAAAAGGUAUUUAACUCUGUUGUAGUUUCUUUAUCAUUCAUGUGGAUAAAAAGUCUAUAAUAAAAAAAAGAAAAC